This 40551-nucleotide long non-coding RNA is filed under the name Citrus sinensis (sweet orange). Its description in RNAcentral is "long non-coding RNA (CSIN_LNC005285)". Lineage: Eukaryota; Viridiplantae; Streptophyta; Magnoliopsida; Sapindales; Rutaceae. The record is from RNAcentral.
AAUAGUUUGGUAGCUGGCGAACAAACCACGCUCAAGCGUGGUGACAUAUGAAGGCUACUAUAUUAAUGCUUUUAAUUUUGCUACGAGAUCGGGAUAAUAACUAUCUAGCACAAAAUAGUAGUGUACAUGUUGUUGCUAAAGCUUUACAGAUAUUAAGCUUAAAAGAAAAAAAAAGCCUUUAUUAUAAGGAAAUGCCUUUUUAUGGGGUUGUCGAUUAAAUUUGGUAGCUUCAUUAUCUGGGGCUUAAAAAAAUACUAUUCAAGCAUGAUUGGGUUGAUGACAGUUUUAACAUUGAUGAGUUAAGAUUCACAAUAGUUAAUUUGGAUAAGAAAGGUUGCAAAUUUGAUUAUUUCAUUCUAGCUAGUCAUGCAAAGUAAGUGUUUUAUGUGAAAGACUAGCUAGAUAAUAGUAAAUCAAUUGUCUUUUUAGUGAGUGAAAAAUGUAAUUAUUCAAAUAGAGCUGGAUGUGAUGUCAUGGAUGUGUAUACACCAUUAUUAACAAUCUUCCACAAUGUAGGUUGGAUAUGGAUGAUGAGAAAUUUGUGUAAGAUCAUAUGGUGAUGCUUUUCAUGUAAAUAUUGAGGCAGAAAAUAAAUAAUUCAAUUAUUGUAAUUUGUUAGCACUACUUCCUAUAAAUAAGCAACUGAUAUGUUUUAUUAUAUUAUUAUUUUAUUAAGUUAUUAUAUUGAUAUCUGAUGCACUUACCAACUUUAUGCAUUUGCAAGUUUGUUGGAGAUACGAUAGAAAAUGAUGAGCAGACACAUGAUCCAGAUCUCGAAGGAUGGCCAAGACGAAACCUUACAAAAAAUAAAGACUUGUAAAAAUGAGCUAGUGACAAGAUUGAGCUCAUGUACAAUUUGUAUGGAGUUUCAGUUAAAAUAUGAGGAAUACAUCAGGAUGAUUAUACGAGAAAGAAUUCCAAUCAUAUAUGAUGAUUAGAGGAAAAUACCACUAGACAUCAAUGGGACAUUGUGGAUUCAUUUUUCGAAAAAGUUCAAGUUGAGUCUUAAGGCUAAAAUCCAAGUGUUCAAACAGAUGGAAAUUGCAUUAAGGGGCUUUAGAUGUAAGCUGGCAAACAUAUAUAUUUUGUCCAAUGCAAACAACUUGAAUUCACUGAAAAAGCCUCUUUUUGAGUAUGAAGGCAUUAGAAAAAAAGACCAGAAUAGCCUUAUUGACAAGCUUUUGUUUGAAGACUUUUAGCUAUGUUUAAAAUUCUACUAGUUGGAAAAUACGAUUAAGUACUUGUAACCAUUUUAAUCAUUAUCCACUUUGUGCUGGAAAAAAGUAAGGCAACAAAGAAUAAAAGAGCAAAGAAUAUGUACAAUCAUCAUUUAGGUAGCACAUGUAUAUGUUGAGCUGUUGCAUAAAAGAGUAAAUACAAUAACCACUACAAUACAAACUUAGAAUAUUUUUAAUACAAACAGCAAGGUGAGUUAGAGUAGUUAUCAUUUUACUUUUUAUCAAAUUAUUGCAGAAAUUAGAGCUCGAUGUUUCUGAGUAAGAGAUUGAUUGCAGUGAAGCAUGAUUAAUGGCUCACAAGAAAAAGGAUGGAACUUACACCCCCGAAGUGCUACAAGUGGCUAAACGAAUAACAAGUUUCUACCACUAUUGUACAUUUAAGAAAAUGAAACAUACAAAUUGCCUGAAACUGAAAGUUAGCUGUAUUAUUUUAUGAUUCGACUAUAUAAGAUAAAGCUAUGUUACUUUUUAUCGCAUAAACUAUGUUGAACAAAUAUCUCAUUUUCAUUACAUUUAAAUUGUAUUCCUAGAGACGUUCAUUAGUAAUUCAUAUAUCCAUCUACUGCUUUGCAUUUGUUGAUUAUAUCGUAAUUGGUAUAGUGCUUUUACCAAAUUUCAUAAGAUUUAUUUGCAAUGACAAUUAGCGUCCUAUAUAAGAUUUAAGUCUUAAGUUCAAGUCUUUAUUAAUGUGCUUGAAAUAAUUGAAACAAGUGGGAAAAAACUAAAAAAAGACUGUUAUUAGCUAUUGCAUGCUUAUAAGUUAUGUUCGUAUAUUUCAAGCAAUAAAACAAAAUUAAUUGUACAUAAAAAGUUGUCGAUUUAAUUAGUGAUUUUAUAAUCACUAAUUGUGACAUAUUACUCGCAUCUAUUAAGUUUGUUUGAUUAAAAGCUUGCAAUUAAUUCUUUUUUUUUAUUGAUGAAUUUUACUGAAUAAUAAUCCAAGUGCAUCUAAACUAACUAGUUGGAUCGCUUUGUUUCUUUUGAUAAAUGCUAGUAAUGACAUGCAUGUUUCAACUAUCAUCAUGUAACUUUUUUUUUAUUCCUAAUUUUAAUCAAUCUUUUUGUAUUUAUUUUGUAGAGCGAGCUAAAAAGCUAGGUUAAGUAGUCGACAUUCCAAUCCCUAAGGCCAAAUUAUAUAUAACCUAGGCAAAACCUUUCAGAAGAAGUCUAAUAGGAGUCUGGUACAAGGAUUAGGUCAAUUCAUCAGCCCAUCAAUGUACUUAAUUAUUCUUGAUCCUACUAAGUUGGUGCAAAAAUGGAGAAUGUACCAGGAGAGUUUUCAAUUUAUGCAAGCUCGAUAAGAUAAAAUGAAUGCAUGGAUAAAUAGCUGCAACAACAAUGAAGUUGCCAGUUUCAACUUUAUAACUCUAAAGGUGGUUGUAGUUAAGAUAGAGAUGGAGAUGAAUCGUCGAUCCUCCACAAAAUUUACUUUAAAGUUAGUGACCAAUAGAUAUAUAGAACAAUAUUUCAGUUGUUUUGUCUAUCAACAGCGCAAAAGGUGGAGCUUUAUGCUUUCUUGGGCAGAAUUCUGGUACAAUACUGUUGGAUCAUAAACUUGAUCCAAGAUGAAUAAAUUCAAGCCCAACUCAUGGAAGGUUCCACGAGUAGGUAUGAUUGGUGAGGUUUGAAUUAUUUGUGUUAGGUGUGGUAGGUGUGGUUGGUGAAGUAGGUGAGCGGUAUGUUUUAAUGGAUGGUGAGGAUUUGUGUAUUAAUUAAAUAAAUGAAUGGUUGUGAUUAGUUUGUUUCAUGUAUAAAUACUCCAUCUCCCCUUUGGUUUAAUCAUCAAGUGGUGAUGCUAUAUAUAGUCAUAUAGAAUAUCAAAUCGAAGAUCUCGACGAGAGGAACGUGACGCCACAAAAAUCAUCCGGAUCCGAGACCGAGCGCGCCCACACUUGCCGCUGGAAGCUUUCUGUUCUGAAGCUGAGUUGACUCACCGAGUUGAACCAAGCUGAGCUGAGCCGAACCGAACCAAGCCGAGCCGAGCUGAACCAAAUCAAGUCAAACCGAGCCAACUCCAGCCGAACCAAGCCGGACCGAACCAAGACUACUAAGCCGACGUUGACCGUUGACCGUUGAAUGAAAAGUUGACUCAAGUCCUUCCCAAGGUUUUUCGACGUGCUGAAUUCAUCUGUGCAUUCAGAAUCUCUAAAUUCUCACUCAAUUUGUGAGUUAUGGCAAACGGUUUUAUGAUGUCAUUUCAAGUUCCACAAUUAAAGGGAAGUAAGUUUGACAAUUGGAGUAUUAAAAUGAAGGCUCUAUUAGGUGCACAUGACGUAUGGGAUAUCGUGGAGAAAGACUUUAUUGUACUAGAAAAUGAAGCCACUUUAACUGCGGCGCAAAAGGAGAAUUUAAAAGACUUGAAGAAGAAAAAGAAUAAAGCAAAGUAUCUCAUCUUUCAAUCAUUAGAUGAAGAUGCUUUUGAAAAGAUUGCUGGUAUAACCUCCUCAAAAGAAGCAUGGGAGAAACUAGAGACCUCUUACAAAGGAGCGGAAUAAGUUAAGAAGGUUCGUCUCUAAACAUUACGAGGAGAAUUUGAGUCCUUACACAUGAAGGAGUCGGAGUCAAUUUCUGACUACUUUACUUGGGUUGUGACUGUUUCUAAUGAAUUAAAAAGAAAUGUCGAGGAGUUAAAACAUGUAAGGAUCAUUGAAAAGAUACUUUGAUCAGUAGACUCGAAGUUUGACCAUAUUGUUGUGACAAUUGAGGAAACAAGAGAUCUAGAGGAUAUGACGAUCGAGCAACUUUAAGGAAGGUUGCAAACCUACGAAGAAAAACUAAAAAAGAAGCAAGAGAUCAAAGAACAACUUCUCAAGAUGGAGGUCAAUCCAAAGAAAAUAGAAGAAAGCUCCAACAAUGAGAAAAUGCACUAUGUCCGAGGUAGAGGAUGAGGACGACGUAGAGGUCGUGGUCAUGGACGAGGUUGGAAUUUCAACAACAACUCCAAUUAUGCCAAAGGAGAAAGCUCAACCAGAGGACGAGGCAGAGGCAAUCCAAGAUCGAGGUAUGACAAAUCUCAAGUACAGUGCUAUAAUUGUCAAAAGUUUGGGCAUUAUACUUCAGAAUGCAGAGCUCCAAGCACCAGAAUUGAGGAGAGAGUGAACUAUGCUGAAGAGAAAAAUGGUGAAGAUGACACACUUUUACUAGCACGCAAUGACACAAGUGGAGGUCAAUAAAAUACAUGGUAUCUUGACACAGGUGCUAGCAAUCAUAUGAGUGGAAACAAAAGCAUGUUCGUGCAACUAAGUGAAUCUGUGAAUGGCAGUGUCGCUUUUGGAGAUGAUUCAAAAGUACCAGUGAAGGGUAUAGAUAACAUUCUUUUUCAUGCAAAAGAUGGUAGUCACCAAAUAAUUUCGAAUGUUUAUUAUGUGCCCAAUAUGAAAAGCAACAUCCUUAGUUUGGGUCAACUUUUAGAAAAAUACUAUGAUAUUCACUUAAAAGAUUGUAGUGUUUUCCUAAGAGAUGACAAAGGAAAUCUAAUUACAAAGGUGAAAAUGUCGAAUAAUAGAAUGUUUCCUUUAAAUAUUCAAAAUGAUGUUGCAAAAUGUCUCAAAGCCUGUCACAAAGAUCCAUCCUGGAUUUGGCAUCUUCGAUAUGGGCAUCUCAACUUUGGAGGAUUAGAGCUACUCUUCAAGAAGAACAUGGUGAAAGGCUUACCAUACAUCAAUUACCCUGAUCAACUUUGUGAAGGAUGUUUACUUGGCAAGUAGUUCAGAAAGAGCUUUCCAAAUGAGUCAAACUCAAGAGCUCAGAAGCCCUCAAGCUCAUUCAUACUGAUGUGUGCGGUCCAUUCAAGCCAAGCUCCCUUGGUAAAAGUAACUACUUCCUUCUCUUCAUAGAUGAUUUUUUAAGAAAAACUUGGGUGUAUUUUUUAAAGCAAAAAUCGGAAGUCUUUGAAACUUUCAAGAAGUUUAAAGCUGCAGUGGAAAAAGAAAGUGGAUACCAAAUUAAAGCCAUGAGAUCUGAUUGAGGUGGAGAGUUCACUUCCAAAGAAUUUUUAGAGUUUUGUGAAGCAAAUAGAAUUCGACGCCCUUUGACAGUUCCAAGAUCCCCCCAACAAAAUGGUGUUGCAGAAAGGAAGAAUAGAACCAUCCUCGACAUGGCAAGAAGCAUGCUUAAAAGUAAGAGGCUACCUAAAGAAUUUUGGGCUGAAGCUGUUGCAUGUGCAGUCUACUUAUCCAAUUGAUCUCCAAUAAGAAGUGUGUGAGGCAAGACACCACAAGAAGCUUGGAGUGGAAGAAAGCCCGGCAUCACCUAUCUAAGAGUUUUCGGAAGUAUUGCCAUGUACAUGUACCAGACGAAAGUAGAGCCAAGCUGGAUGAAAAAAGUGAGAAGUUCAUCUUCAUCGGCUAUGACAACAACUCCAAAGGAUAUAAGCUUUACAAUCCAAACAACGGAAAGAUCGUGAUCAGUCGAGAUGUAGUUUUUGAUGAAGAAGGAGAAUGAGAUUUUGGCUCUGGUGUGGAUGACUCCAACUUCUUUCCCAUUGAAGAAUAUAAUCAUACACAAAUAAAACAAGUAGAAGAACAACAAGAGCCAGCUACUCCACCUAUCUCACCAGCAUCAACCACAUGUGGAGAUUCACCGCCAUCUUUCUUAAAUGAAAGAACCGAAUAACGUACAAGGAGUCUUCAAGAUCUCUAUGAGGUAACUGAGAGACAUGAUAAUCUCACUCUCUUUUACUUUUUUGCUGAUUGUGGGUCAGUCAACUUCGAAGAAGCUGCACUAGAUGAGAAGUGGAGAAUUGCAAUGGAUGUAGAAAUCAAAGCCAUUGUGAAGAAUGAUACUUGGGAGCUUACUACUCUUCCCAAAGGGCAUAAGGCGAUCGGUGUCAAAUAGGUGUACAAAACAAAAAGAAAUGCAAAGGGAGAAAUUGAAAGGCACAAGGUGAGGCUAGUUGCAAAAGGCUAUAGUCAAAAGGCUGGCAUAGACUACGACGAGGUAUUUGCUGCCGUAGCUCGACUUGAAACUAUUAGACUUAUUAUUUCUUUGGCUGCUCAGAACAAAUGGAAGAUUUUUCAAAUGGAUGUCAAGUCUGCUUUCUUGAAUGGAUUCAUUGAAGAAGAAGUUUACAUCGAACAACCAUUGGGCUAUGUGGUGAAAGGACAUGAAGACAAAGUUUUGAGAUUGAAGAAAGCUCUUUACGGGUUAAAGCAAGCACCAAGGGCAUGGAAUAGUAGAAUUGACAAGUAUUUUCAAGAGAAAUGCUUCACCAAAUGCCCAUAUGAACAUGCUCUCUACGUCAAAGAAAAAUAUGGAGAUAUUUUGAUUGUGUGCCUGUAUGUGGAUGAUCUCAUCUUCACUGGAAGUAAUCCAAGCUUGUUUGAAAAGUUCAAGAGAGUGAUGAUCAAAGAAUUUGAGAUGACUGACAUCGAACUGAUGGCAUAUUAUCUCGGCAUUGAAGUCAAACAAAAGGAAUAAGGCAUAUCUAUCUCCCAAGAAAGCUAUGCAAAGGAGAUUCACAAGAAGUUCAAGAUGAAUGAUUGUAAGCCUAUAAGCACGCCAGUGGAAUGUGGAGUCAAGUUAUCCAAACAUGAUGAAGGCGAAGAUAUAGAUCCAACAUUCUUUAAAAGUUUGUUUGGAAGCCUACGUUAUUUGACAUGCACGAGACCAGAUAUCAUUUAUGUUGUUGGACUUGUGAGUCGAUACAUAGAGAAUCCAAAGACCACCCAUUUUAAAGCAGCAAAAAGAAUCCUUCGCUACGUCAAAGGUACAACUAAUUUCGGCUUGUUAUACUCAUUUUCUAAUGACUACAAGCUUGUUGGAUAUAGCGAUAGCGAUUGGGGUGGAGAUGUAGAUGAUCGAAAAAGCACCACAGGAUUUGUGUUCUUCAUAGGAGAUACUGCUUUCACAUGGAUGUCAAAGAAGCAACCUAUUGUCACGCUAUCCACUUGUGAAGCUGAGUAUGUAGCUGCCACAUCAAGUGUUUGUCAUGCAAUUUGGCUCAGAAAUUUGCUGAAGGAGUUGGGUUUGCCACAAGAAGAGCCAACCAAGAUUUGUGUUGAUAACAAAUCAGCAAUUGCCCUAUCCAAGAAUCCAGUCGUUCAUGAUCGAAGCAAACACAUAGACACUCGCAAUCAUUUUAUAAGAGAGUGUAUUGCAAGAAAAGAAGUGCAAAUCAAGUAUGUAAAAUCACAAGAUCAAGUAGCUGAUAUCUUCACUAAGCCACUCAAGAAAGAAGACUUCGUAAAAUUCAGAAGUUUGCUUGGUGUCACAGGAUCAAGUUUAAGGGGGGCUGUUGGAUCAUAAACUUGAUCCAAGAUGAAUAAAUUCAAGCACAACUCAUGGAAGGUUCCAUGAGUAGGUAUGAUUGGUGAGGUUGGAAUUAUUUGUGUUAGGUGUGGUGGGUGUGGUGGGUGUGGUUGGUGAAGUAGGUGAGUGGUAGGUUUUAAUGGAUGGUGAGGAUUUGUGUAUUAGUUGAAUAAAUGAAUGGUUGUGAUUAGUUUGUUUCAUGUAUAAAUACCCCUUCUCCCCUUUGGUUUAAGAAUCAAGUGAAGUAACAAAAUCUCUAAGGUGUAGAGAGAGAAAAAUAAGAGUUGUAAUUGGUGAGGAGUGUUGUUGAAGAAAUAAAAUAGUGUUUUUUUUGUGUGUUUUAUUUGUUAAUUCUCCAACAAAUACGACUUAUCAUGCAUCGAUGGGAAUGACAUCAUUCCAAGCUUUGUAUGGUCUUUUGCCUCCCAUCAUUCCUCAUUAACAGGCGGGCACCUCUCCAAUGAAUGAGGUAGUCUAAAACCUUAAGUCACGAGAUGACUUACUGCUCCAACUCAAGGAACAUUUACAUGCUGCCAACAACCGCAUGAAACAGACAGCUAAUGGUCAUCAACGCGACAUCGAAUUCGAAGAGGGAUACCUGGUUUACCUUAAGCUUUACCGCCAACACACACUCUUCAAGAGAGCAGCUCAAAAACUAGCAAGCUGGCUCUAUGGUCCUUACUUCGUUGAAAAGAUAAUUGGCAAGCUCAUAUCAACUCAAGCGUCUAGCUGGAUCUCGAAACCAUCCAAUUUUUCAUGUUUUGUUACUUAAAAAGAAGCUGCGGGACUCCUGCACCCCAAGUGCUGACUUACCUCUUUUACUGACCAGAAGGAAAUGAUUUUGGAGCAAGAGGCUGUUGGAGUUUUUUUUUUUUUAAUAAUAUAGAAGCAAACGAGGAAAAGCAAAUAGAUAGGUUUGAGGCGUGGAUAGACACUUGCUUUUUAAGGUUUUGUUUGCCCUCACCAUACUUGGUUUACUAUAUAGUUGAAUAGUAAAUUACCCCAAAAAUACAACAAACCUUGAAUACAACCUCUAGCAAUAAAAUUAUAUUCCAGAACAUGUUUUGAAUCUGUAAUAAGGUGGAGUAUUUAUAGAAAAUAAAGUGUCUAUUCAUGAAGAGACUUGUCUACACACAAGUGACACAACCUUUUAAUGAAAAAAUACAUCUAUUCAUAAAUAAUACAACUCUUCACAUAAAGGCACCUUUUAAAGUUGAUAUAUCUUUUCAUUUAAUUAAUUUAAAAUAAAUUAACUAAUUAAUUAUUCAAAGAGAUAUUACAAUCUUUCUUACAGAGGCUGUAUUGAAUACAUGCUAGGUGAAAAGAGGAGCAAAAUUCAUCAAGGAAAGUUUGGUCAAAUGGCGGGCUACCUGCUGACGAAGCCACUUGGGAAAAUGCCAAUGAACAUCAAGGGAGGUUCAUUAGCUUAGACCUUGAAUACAAGGAUCCAAUGAAGGAGGAAGGUAUUGAUAAGCUUCCAUGUAGGUCUCAGCAUGUUGGUGUGAAGAAUCAUAACUACGUGGGUUGAAGUUAUUGUGCAUUGAGGCAUGCAUGGAGUUGACGACAGCUUGUCAAGAAUUAUGGAGGACUUCGUUUCUAUCCAUUGGCUAGCGCGAUUUAUGCAUUAGAUUGCGUCAAGAGUUUGUUUACAGGUUUUAGCUAUUAUCUUGCUAUUAGUUAUUAGGGGCACUAAUACGUAUUUGGUUUAGAUAUUAUUUUUAAUUCUUAUAAUUGGCUACAAAAGCUAGUGGAUAACUUGUAGUCCUAGUCUAAUGCAAAUUGCUUCUAUAUUAUCGUAGAAAGUGGUUGCAAUAGGGAGUAGUUGCAAUUCUUUUCAACCAGAUGCUCCUAUUUGGUCAGAUCCGUGACAGCAACCUCCUAUGUUACUUUCAUUACAGUAUUUCUAAACAAGUUCCUGAAUAACAAGACUAAUGAUUUUCUUGAUAUCCAUGAUGAUAGUAGCGAUAUCAAUGCUAGUGACCAUAUUAAUUGUGACCUUGAUAUGGAGCUGGAGCUUUUUACUAUGAUGAAUGCGCUGAAUAUUAAUAUGAUGUCAGAAAUAGGUCGAUUUUAAUAUCAACCUUUAAUUUGAAUUAACAAAAGUAAUGUCACCUGACAUAAUAUAGGUUCCAAACAUUCAUGGUCAGAAUGUGAAUGAGAGAAAUAUUUAUUCCACAGUCUAUUGGUGAACUAUCUCUAGAGAUUGUGAAAGAUGUUAUGUUAGUAAUAUUCUUAUUAUUGUUUCAGACUCAUAUUCCCCAAAAAGUGGAAAAGAAUUCCAUCUACUCCCUACUGCAACCAUUUCCUACGAUAAUAUAGAAGCAAUCUGCAGGACUACAGUUAUUCACUAAUUUGAAGCCAAUUAUAAGAAUUAAAAAUAAUAAUUAAACCAAAUACAUAUUAGCGCCCCUAACAAACGCCUGGGCCAAUCUUAUUAUGCCUUACGUCUUCUUUUAACUCUAAUUUUGCGCCAAUCACGUAUGCAAAGAAUAAAACAAAAAAAAUAAGGGUCACUAACAAUUCAUGUAAGAUGAAAGGACCCCAUUUCAUUUGUCAAGGACACGGAUAAACAAGGUAAUUAUGAGACCACUGUAUAUGUUCGGUCAUAACGAAAAAUAAUAGUUAUUAUUAUCAAUAAUAGUUACUAUGAUAUCGGGUUAAAUAAAACCUUCCCAUUUUUUGAGUGACAAAUUAAUGCUCAUUAAAGAGGGUAGUGUUGGGCAAUGCUUAUAAAGACUAAAUUAAGGCAUAACGAAAUGACAGGUUACACUUCAACAAAUCAACACAAAAAUAAUAUCAGGCAUUGUAACGGUACUAAAUUAUCUUAUAACAAGAUAAUAACUAUGUAGAGAAACUCUUUUACUGUUUUGAAUUAGAUCAGCAUUGGAUUUAAAUUCCACUAGUAAUAUGAAGAAUAAUAUUAUAUUUUUCAAUCAAUAUUGUAUUUUUUAAUGUAAAAUGAAGUAAUUAAUAAUUUUAUAAGAUAUAACAUUAAAAAUUUGGAUUCUCUCCUAACUUAAUUUUCCUUACAUUUUAUUGGAGAUUAUGACAUAUGUCACCUAAAACCUUGUACGAUUUACUUUUGCUUUCAUUAUUAAACUCUACAUCUUCUGAUGGCUAUUAUCCUCUAACUAUUUUCUGGUAAUUAAAAAAAAUAGAAAAAUGUUUCGAUUGUCAUACUUACUAUAAGUAUUUAGGAAUUGGAAUCACAAUUAAGACUAAUAUUUGGAAAUCAAAGGUUCGAGCCCAUAAAGUUGACCUUGUAACAUUAUACGUAAUUGGUCCCUAGUGAUUUGUAAUAUGCAUGAGACGUGAGAUACACGUGUGUCCUUUAUGUUACCCACAGAGUAUUAUCGAUUAUUAUAUUCCUUCUAAUGGUAAAUGAUAUCACUGAGGUGAAUGCGUUUCUCUAAUCCACCAAGGCAAAGUCGUAAUUUAUGCAAAAAAUUAAUAACAUACCAUAUAUGCAUGCAUCCUUACCAAAUUGACAAAAUAUAGGAUAAGAACAAAAAUAAAUCAAUCUUCAAUCCGCAUGAGCAAUUCUAUUUAAGAAUACGACGUCCUGAAUUGCCAAAGAAAUCCAAAACAAUUGCAAAAUUUAGAGAGAAAAAAAAUGGCUGCUUUCACCAAAUACAUGUUGUUUCUCACACUUUUUGUCCUCUCCAUUACUUUGUCCAAAGCUAUUUAUUUCAGUGGUAACCUGCACGUUCACAUCACCAACGAUUUACAGCCAGGCUUAAAUCUAACCUUUCAUUGUAAAUCUGGGGAUAAUGACCUUCGAGAACGUGUUCUCUCUCAUGGGCAGACCUUUGAUUUUCAUUUCCGAAAGAGUGUAUACAGGGACGACACAUUAUUCUAUUGCAGCUUUGCGUGGAACGGUGCGUUUCAUUGGUUCGAAAUCUACAACCAACUGAGGGAUGAUGAUUAUUGCGAAGAGCUGUGUGAUUGGAAAAUAAGAGAAGAUGGUCCACGGUUGAUGCUAAAUGAUGGUAAAAUUAGGUUUAUGGCUUAUGAGUGGAAAGAUUGAUGAAUUGUCUAUGAAAUAAGACCAUGUACUCCUUUACAUUCAAUAAUUGAUCGUAACUAUUGUUUUCAUAAUUUGGUUUAUUUUUCUUCUAUUCUUUCUAUAUGAUUUUUGUAUUUAAUGUCAAAGGAUAGAUAUAGGCAACAUAUUUACAAAAUGUAGCUCUGUUAGUAGUGAAUGAAUUUUGUUCCUGUGACCAUCUGACUGAUCGGUAGCAGUAGAGAUUAAGGGACAACCGGACAAGGUUUCUCAUUCCAAUUCAGGCUAUAAAAAUAAAAUUUAAAAAAAUAGAAAUCUCAACAAAUAUAUAUACGACCUUUAAUAGGGCGCAAGGGUGGGUGUAUUAUAUAAGCUUAUAAUGAAAUCCAGAAAGCUUGCAAUGAACAGUUGAAUAAUCCCCAACGUUAAAAAACUUUUCUAACUUAACGAGUCGCAAGUUAUUACCCACUGCGGACUUGAAUGCCUAGUAAAAAAUUAUUUCAAAGUUGUUAGUCCCUAAUGAGCUAAGAAAAUUAAUUCUUGAGCCAGCAUUUGAGAGUUGUUUAAUUUCUAUUAUUGCCAAAUUCUAGACGAGCACACCUUUUAAGGAAAAAACAUUGCAAACUAAUAAUCUGAAAUUUCAAAGAUUACUGUUUUUAUUUUUUGGUUAAAUUUUCAAUUUAUUUCGAAGGUAAUAAUCUUAUAAGAAUUGGUCUUAUAUUAAAUAAAUAUUUGUAAAGCUUGAGACUAACCCCAAUUCCUAAGAUAGAUUUUAAGUAUGCAUUGAAAUUUUAUAUAUUAUUAGAGUCAAACUUAUGUAUGAACGGACCCAUUUAUACUACAUUAUGAUCACGUGAGAAGAACAUGACAAAUAAGUUUGGUCUACACGUGACAAGGGGUGUAGGAAACAAAUUAAUCCCACAUCGCUAUCAUUUAAGAUCAGCCUACCGGUGAUAGGUUCGUGGGUUUCUUGCGCAUUUGGUCCAAGAUCAACUCUUAGUUUUUCUCUCUAUUGUAUUUCGGAUAAGUAUCUAUGUUGUCUCUGUGAUGCUGUAAAACACUAUCAAAUCCUUAGCUGUCUGUGAGUAUUAAUCUUCUUCAUGUUAACAGCAAGCAGAUUUUGGGUUAUCAGGAUCAAAGUCAUAAUAAAUUUCCUAUUUUGUUCCGUAUGUAGUAUGUACCAGGAUGAGUAAAGAUUCAUUCUUCAUCUCUUUCUUGCGUAUAUAUUACAUAUUUGGCAUAUCUAAUUAUUCUAUAUAAAAAGAUAAUUCGUAUUCUCAAAUUCCUUACAAGAAAUAGUAAUAAACUAAUAAAAUAAAAUAAAAAAUCUUAAGGAUUAGCGCAAAUAUUAUUUUCAGGCCAAAUCCAAGUUUGACCAAUUUUCCAAUUUCUUUCAAGUUUGUAAUCUUUGGAAUUAAUACUGCGACCAACUAUUUAAAGAAAUCAAAAGUUCAAUUCGCUCCCGCUACAAAUUCAAGAAUUAUGUGAUGCGCAGAGCUAUACCUUUGCAUUUAAUGAAAAUAUUUGGAAGAUCCUUAUACUUUUGUGGAUUUGUAUGGAGUGGCAGGUUGUAUUGGUACGAUAUCUAUAAAGGCAGUAGCGGUUCGACCUCUAGGUAACUUAGGUGGUUGCCAAGCUCCCGUUUUAUAUGAAAGCACCACAAGAUGAUUAUUUUGUAUAUAAAAGGGAAACGUGAAUUUAAAAGUCAUUAUUAUUCAUUUAAUUUAUUAUUAUUUUGUAAUUAUCUUUUCCUAAAUAAACUAUCAAAUUCUUAUCAAGUUUAUUUAAUGUAGUACUUAGUAGUUUUAAUUUCUAUAAAACCGAUAAAUUAAUAGUUUCAAUCCUAAAAAUUCUCUAGUUCAUUGUUAGAAUUAAUAUGUUAUAUUUCAAAAGUUUUAUAUUCAUUUUAAACAUCUAUAAAAGCCCCACAUUUUAUUACUUAUCCAUUAAAUUUUUCCUCCAACAAUUAAGACAUGAUAUGUUCUUGGUGUUCGAGAGAAAGAAAGAGGGAAAGGGAAAAAAAUCCUGCUUCCUCUACUUUCCACUCAAGAAGAAAAAGAAAAAAUCUAAUAGUUUUCUCUAUUCUCUAUGACUAUUGAUCAUUACUCAAAUCCUCAAACAAUUAAUAUAAACAUAAGUUAAUUUAUGAUUUCAUCUCAAAUUUCAGAUUUUAUCUUUUUAUUAUUCUCUCAAUUAGUUGUGUUAUUUAUUUGUUCUUAUUUCUUUUUAAUAUAUUCUUUUAUUCAUCUACUUUUUUUUUGUGUGCUUGUUUUAUCUAUUUUGAAAUAAAAUUAUAUCGAAUAACUUUAGAGGAUAGAAGAAUAGAAAAAUUAGUUUAAUUUAGAAAAGGAGUAGUAAAAAAGAUAUAAUUUGAGUUAAAAAAACAAUAAGUGGAAAUGUUAUGAUUGAAUUAAAAUUUCAUGGAUUAGCAACAGUAGAAUAGAAUUUAUUUAAUAAUUUUACAUUUUAGAGUAUUUAAAGAUUUGUUUUCAAUAAAUAAUAUAUAUAUAUAUAUAAUCCUAAAUUUUAUGAAAAAUUAAUUAAAACCAUUUGCGUAAGGAUAUGGUUGAGCCGGCCCUGUAUAAAAGUUGUCGGGAUAGUUGCUUCCAAUGUAACUGGACCGUAGUACCAUGUGGUCCUUUUUUGACUCUGAAUGAAUAUGACGAUCUUACAUGUUAUCAAUGGAAUUCUUAAUGAAUAUUGUUUGGCAUAUAUUCAUAAUGUGCAAUAAAGUCCUCAAAUUCCAUUGAAUAAUUUGUAAUCUUAAUAUUUUGUGCAUGAUUUUUUCUAUUAGUUAACUUCCAUUUCGAAUUUUGAGCAUACAAGCAUUUUUUUCAUAUGAAAGAAGGCCAUAUCACGAGAAAAUUGUAAUCCUUGUCCACUCCAGAUAACUCGCUCAAGCUUUUCAAAAAAUUUUAAAAAAUAAAAAUAAAAAUAAAAAGUAACUGUAUCAAGUCAUCAGUACUGUUAAUUUCCUUUUGGCCAAACGAAAUUCAAGGACUUGUUAAUCAAUUUAGAUGAGUAAUGGGUGACACAGCAUUUGAUAUUUUUUUUAUCAAAAUUGAUGUGUAAUAUUUCCAUGGUUGAAUUAAAAAUAUGUUAGGACCUACAUAAUUUAUUUUAUUUUUUAUUAUUUUAAUCAUUUAAUUAUAUCAUGUCACAUCAAUUUAUACAAGAUUGUUUCACUAUAACAAAAGUGGCUAUUGGCUACCAAUUAUUUCCGAGGGACAUAUAAAUCCCUAGGUGAAAAGUAGUUUUCUGAUGGAUUUUAAUUCACUGCAGGUAAAAUAGAAAAAUGUAUAAGUUAUUACCUAGGCAAAAUUUUCCGUCUCUAAAAAGAUAAAAAAUCCUUUGCUAUUAUGAAUUAUUUAUCACUGGAAGGUUAGCCCCCAAAUUUAGACUCUACUACAAAAUUGGGUUUUCUUGACAAAAUAUUUUUGUCUCAAAUCAUGUUGCUGACAUAAUUUUAUUCUAUCAAAAAAGCCCUUGUUAGAAUAUAGUGACAGAAAAUUCAAUAAUUAGUGACAAAAUACUUCUGUCAAGGAAUUGUGUUACAAUUCUUUACUUCCAUGACAUCGGAUGUGGCAAAUUACGUGGCAUCUUAUUUUGCAAACAUGGCAUUUGACAUGGAAAAUAAAUUUUAUGUUUACAUAACAUUACAUCUUGUGCUGAUUAAUUUUUUUGAGCUAAAUUUUUGUAAAUUAAAAAAAAGGUCAAUAUUAUUAUUUAUUUUAAAAUAAAUAAUUUUUUUCCUUUCAAUUACCAACAACCCAUAUUUUUGCAGUACCCUUGCAAUAAUAAAACCAUUUAUCCAUUAAAUAUUUUUAAAACUACAAUGCAAUUUAAAAUAUUUCAAUUAUUCUGUUAUUAAAUAUUGCUAAUAUCAUAAAAAUUUACAUACAUAUUGACCCAAGUUAAUAUAAACAAAAUUUCUUUUUUCGAAACCUUAAAUCAUUCGAGACUGCAUCCUCUCCCUGCACUAGAGAUGGCAACUGGAUUGCUCCAUAAUGAAUAUCCACAAUAUCCAUCUAAUUGAAUCUGAUAAUAUCCAUUCAAAAUUUUUUGAAUUUAGAAAUGAAUAUUUUAAAAUUAUAUCCAGAUGAAUAUGAAUAGAUAUAGAUAAUUAUUUUUACCUAAUAGAUAUCCGUUUAACCCAACACAAAUUUAAAAAGUUUUAAUUUUAUAAAAUAAAAAAUAAAAAAUAUAAUAAACAAACAAUUGUAAAAAUAUUAUAUUAACUAGUAAAAAAUUUAAAUUCCUCUUAUAUUAAAAACUAAAAUUUUUAAAAUUACCCUUUAAUUUUUUAUCCAUAGAUCUCCAUAGGUAUAUGAAUAAAAUCCAUAUCCAUAUACAAUAUUAAAUACUGGAUAUGGAUAUAGAUAUAUCCAUUAUGGAUAAUUAUGAAUUUGUGUUUAGAUAGAUAUUAUCCAUCCAUAAUUAGAUAUUUGCCAUCCCUACCCUGCACGAAUUACAUCACUUUAAAAGGCAAAAUUACAUUUGAUCAAAUUGAAUCUAAACUCAUGCUUGAUACCAAAAUCUCAUCAGCUCACAUAAUCAGCAACAAUACUUGAUCCUGAAGGCAUAACCCAAAUCUUAGCAAGUUGAAUCUGCAGUCAUGACAGAAAAUUGCAUCAAUACUACUCCGAUAUCUUAGCAAGCGAAUCUAAUGCCAUAGGUUUUAAAAAAGUAAAUAUUAAAUAGUAUUUAGGCCAAUUAACAUAUUCUAAUUUCUUCAUGAGAAUCAUUACUAUGUAAUACUUAACAACUUUUUUAUUAUAUUUCGUUAACACUUUAUGUGCAUUGUUGCUUUGAGAUGAAAUUACAACAUAUACAUUUAUAAACACUUAAAGACUUUUUUAUUUGUGUAGUAAAUUGUUAAACUGGCUCAUAAAAUUAGCUAACAACAUAAGUUGCUCUGAGAUGAAGUAUCAUACUUUUACUCUUUGGGAAAUCAAUUACUUUUAUAAAUUAUCAUACGCUCUAAUUUGAAAAUUGUAUCAAAACGCUCUUAAUCAUUUGUUUUAUUGUUUAUAAAAAAUUGUGUCCUGCAAAAAAAAAAAAUUGUCACUUUUAUACUCAUACUAAAAACAAUCUGUUGAAAAUAACACAAGGCAUUAUAACAAACACUUGGUGUACAAAUUUUAAUUGUUACUUAAAUUUUAACAUUCAUUAAAUCUUCAUGCUCGUACAUUGGAGACCAAUCAGAUGAUCACAAUAAGAAAUAUAUCAAAAAUUACAACAAAAAAAUAUCGUAAUACUGUCAAUAUCGAAGACAAUUUUGCAAGCAAGCCAAUUUUACUAUUCAUAUAACAUGAAUUUAAUUAAAAUAAACGAAGACCUUAAAUUAUAAUGUAAAAAGCGUGAAUAAAUUUAUAAUAAACAAAGAACAAGGUAAAGUAAUGUCAAAAGCUAGCUCACCUGAGAAACCAAUGAUGAAAGCCAAACAGGAGGAAAAAGACAAUCUUGAGAUGAAAUUAGCUCUUCGGCCAUCUGGACCUUAGCUGAGAUUAAACAAAAAAUUGCUUCAGAGACAAAAAGAAACAAAUCUGGAGAGAAGAAUUAAAAGCCCCAACCCAAAACUAUUAGAUUACCUACUCGAAUUUCGGUUGUUUCAUUUUUGGAUAUGAUUGCUCAGAAAAUGAUGAAAGCAAAUGACUUAUUUGUGAGGACUGGAUCAACAAAAUUAAAUUUUGUAUGUUACUUUGAUGGUGAGGUUAACAUUUAUGAGAGAGAGAGACGGAGAGCCAAAGAGGGAGGCGAAGGCCAGAGAGGGAAGGGGAGAACCAUGAGUUUCGUUCUUAUUUCGGUCGCACAUAAAAAAAAAAUCCCGCUAAAAAAAAAAUAAAAAGGGAAUUGGAGAGAGGGAAUUUCAAUAAUUUUGAUUUGGCGCACUUUUCCAGCACUCAUUUUACCACUAUUUGAUAUUUUAAUUGUUAACGCUCAAAUUUAAGCUUGAAUUUUUUAAAACCUUUUUCAUUGUAUUUUAUAAAAUUACAAUUCAUAAACUUUUUCAUUAGAUUAGGUAUCAAAGUUUUGUUAAAGAAUUAAAACUUUAAAUAUAUAUUAUGGAUAGGUUAAACAAAUAUUAAAAAGCGUAUUUUAAUUAAAAGUAAAAUAUAUAUUCUUUUAUUUUUUAAACAUUUAUGGGACCUUUUAUUGAAGUUUAAGCUUUUCGAGAGAUCCACUGUACUUACUAUAUGGCAAAUUCUUAUUAGUCCAACACACCUCAACAUGAUGAGGUGGCACAUUUGGCCUACAUAAGUUUUUCUCUUUUGAGCAUAUUAAAUUAUAUCAUUCUAAAUUAUUGAUGUGGCAACAUAAAAUAAUAAAUUGUUUGAUAGAAUUUUGUCAUUGACUUACUAUAAUAUAUUCACAUUAGUUAAGUGAUUGAAAUCUUUCAAAAACUAUGUCAUUUUUCAAUGCCUACAUGUAACUAAAAUUUAAAAAGAAAAAUCAUUGAUACAAUUAUGUCAAGAAAAAUUUAAAAUAUUUAAAACAUAUUUUCUUAAAAUAUUAAUAUGAGAAAUUUUAUUUAAACCUUUUGAUAGUGCUCUGUCAAGAAUUACUUAAUUUACUAUAUCAAGUGCGGGUGGCUCCAUGGAAAGAAAUCUUGUUGCCAAAACUCGUUUUUGUGUGCACUUCCUUAAACUAAAAGGACGAGGUGGUGCUCCAUAACCUCGCCCCAUUGAAGCUUUCAAGAUGCUGAAACCUUCUUACAAAAUAAAGAAGAUUAAAGAGAGGGGGAUUAUGGAAGACGAGUGGUACAAGAAGGGAUAGACAAGAGCUUGAAAUAAAGGCGAAAAUGGAGAAAGAAUGGUGAGUUUUAUUAACCAAUAUAAUGAGUAGUGUUGCUGCAAAUAAAGAUAGAUUGGAAGAAGAAUUUUAAAAGUUAUUGUAACAAACCUUGGACAUUUUUUUUAAAAUAAAUUUAUUUUUCUAUCCCUAUGUCCGUCAAUUUGUUAAAAGUGUCUUUUGAAUAUAGAACAUAUAGGAUGAAGAUAUAUAUGUUGGGAAAAUAUACUCUUUAAAAGCAUAUGUGUUUAUUUAAUUGUAAUAAACAAUUUUUCUGAUUAAUAAAAUAAAUGAGGUAUUUUAUUCAAGUAUCUUAAUUGCAUUAAUAUUUUGAGUAAAAGCCCAUUUAAUCAUAUAUUUAUGUGAUCACCAUGUGGAUUCACAGAAGAUAUAAAUACAAGUUAUCUUAUGAUUAAAUAAAUUAAGUUCGCAGUUGAUAAAUAAAGUUGGGCACUUUAUUUGGGUAUAAAAUGUAAUAAAUUCAUUGAAGAUUUGUCUUAAUUAUGUAUGAAUUUAUUGAUGUAGUAUGACUACAUUGAACAAGAUCACAUAUGAGAUUUAAUUAAUUUUGUAAUAACUGUAGACUUAUUAAAUCUCAUAGGCAUUGAUUUUACUGUAACCUUAAUCUUGAGUUAGUUAUGAGUUCAUGAUUGUAAUUGUUAUUCCAUUUGAGUUACUAAUGGGCACGACACACACUUGUAGUCAAGAUUACCAAGUAUCUCGGUGGGAGCAAUUAUGAGUAUUAGAGUUAUAGAUUAACAAUAUAGAAUUUGUACAACACAUCUCUUGAUGGGUUUUCGGCACUUGAUCAUAGAAUUCUCUGGUCAGAGUGUGUCAACAUAUUUAGUAUGUUGAAAAUGAUCAUUAGAGAAAAUCAGUAAGUAUCAAGGAACAAGAUGUAAUUAAAUUGAUUUGACAGUUGAGAUAUGGAUUUAUUAACGAUGUGGUACAAAGGAUUAUGCAGUAAAGAAAUCAAUGUGGCAUGGGUCGAAUUAUUAUUCGAGAACACUAUCUUGGAGAGCAUACAAUUAUGGAGGUCAGUUCCAAUCUUUUAGAGGAGUAGAUUUUGAAUUAAAUAAUUUGGCUAGUUUAAUUACAGACAUAAUUAUUGUAGCCACAAUUGUAUGUACCCAAAUGAUCCCCAAGUUAGCUCAUUUAAUUGAUUGUCCCGCUACUGGAUUAAUAAGCAAGAUAACUAGUUAUUUGGGUUAAAAGGCUAAAUAUAUUAUUUAGUGGGAGGCUCCAUAAAAUAUGUUUGUGUGUAAGGGGUCUUGUGUUAUUUUACAAGGUGGGCCCCUCUACCAAGAAGAAGUAACGUUACUUUUUGUUUUAUUAUUUUUUAAUUUAAAUUAAAGUUGAUUUAAUAGAAUUAAAAAUAAUAAAUAUGGAGCUUAGGGUUUCCAUUAAAUAGAGAUAUAAAAAGGCAUGUUUUCUCCCAAAAAGAAGAGGGAGACCAUAUUAUACAGUUCAGAGAAAAAUAUUUUUUCUCUCUAAUUUUGAGAGAAAUAAUUUCUCCUGCUAGUUGCUUUUAGUGGUGAUAAAGGCGCCCACACGUCAAGUGCAGAUCAAACCUCAGUCAUAACUUGGAAGAUCAUUUGUGACGGAUCGUGACCUAACAAGAGUGGUGGUGACAGAUCGUGAUCUAACAGGAGUGGUGGUGACGAAUCGUGAUCUGGAAGCCUAGAUUAAUUCAGCGAAAAAGCCAAAUCGGAUUGUCAAUGUAUGAUUUUCUAGAUUACAAAUUCCUAUGUAUUGUAUGAGAUCGUUCCUAAAAGUUUUUAUAAAAUUUUAAAAAACUGAUUUUUCCCCAACAAUAUAUUCCUAAAAUCUCCUUAAAUUUAUUGUCAUUUCUCUAGUUAAAUUAAAUGACAUUAAAACUUAAUUGAUGGGUAAUGAAUAUACAUGCAGUUUUGAGAAGGCAAAUUGACUACUUAUAUAUGUUGUUUUGUUGCGCAUUUUGGUCUAUUAUAAAUGGAAUUUUGUUUGUUAGUUUGUUUGCAUUUCACAUUAUGUUCAGUUAUCCUUUAUAAUUAGUAGGGAUGCGGCUAAUUUAGAAAAUGGCAUAAUUAAUUAAUCUGAGAAAUGAGCUAAUAAGAGAUCAUCACGAGAUGUCUGGAGCUGAAGCCAUUUGAUAAACUAGUGCUAUUUUCCAUGUGUAUGAAAGAACUUUGGUUCACAUUUCCGGAGUAUCUACAAGCAGCAACUGAAACACUUCCUACAUAUUUUGCAUAUCAUAUUUAGCAUAGUUUAUUAACUAUUUUAUCUUAUGCAUUAAAGUAGAAUCCAGAUUUGUCCAUAAGUUAGUUUGACAAUACCUGGCAGAUGGGAUUUGACUCAAGUAAAUAUCGAGUGAUCUUACAUGAUUGAAAAAAAUGCAUUGAAGUAGAAUCUAGCUUUGUUCAUAUAUUCCUUGAGGAAAGUUGUAAAACAUAUGUCGUAUGCUUGUUUCGUAGUGGUGUAUGCUAAAAAAAGUGCUAGUAUACUCUUAAUAUGGUUUUCAAAUAAUGCAAGACCUUGUUUUUAUUGGAAAAAUAUGCUCUUUAAAAGCAUAUGUGUUUAUUUAAUUGUAAUAAAUAAUUUUUUUUAUUAAUAAAAUAAAUGAGGUAUUUUAUUCAAGUAUCUUAAUUGCAUUAAUAUUUUGAGUAAAAGUCCAUUUAAUCAUAUUAUAUGUAUUUAUGUGAUCACCAUGUGGAUUUACAGAAGACAUAAAUACAAGUUAUCUUAUGAUUAAAUAAAUUAAGUUCGCAGUUGAUAAAUAAAGUUGGGCACUUUAUUUAUAUAUAAACUGUAAUAAAUUCAUUGAAUGAUUUUUCUUAAUCAUGUAUGAAUUUAUUGAUGUAGUACGAUUACAUUGAACAAGAUCACAUAUGAGAUUUAAUUAACUUUAUAAUAACUGUUAGACUUAUUAAAUCUUAUAGGCAUUGAUUUUACUGUAACUUUAAUCUUGAGUUAGUUAUGAUUUCAUGAUUGUAAUUUUUAUUCCAUUUGAAUUACCAAUGAGCAUGACACACACUUGUUGUCAAGAUUACCCGGUAUCUCGGUGGGAGCAAUUAUGAGAAUUGGAGUUAUAGAUUAACAAUAUAGAAUUUGUACAACACAUCUCUUGAUGGGUUUUCGGCACUUGAUCAUAGAAUUCUCUGGUCAGAGUGUGUCAACAUAUUUAGUAUGUUGAAAAUGAUCAUUAGAGAAAAUCAGUAAGUAUCAAGGAAUAAGAUGUAAUUAAAUUGAUUUGACAGUUGCGAUAUCGAUUUAAUUAACGAUGUGGUACAAAAGAUUAUGCAGUAAAGAAAUCAAUGUGGCAUGGGUCGAAUUAUUAUUCAAGAGCACUAUCUGAGACAGCAUACAAUUAUGGAGGUCAAUUCUAAUAUUUUAGUGGAGUAGAUUUGGAAUUAAAUAAUUGGUCUAGUUUAAUUACAUGCCUAAUUAUUGUAGCAACUAUUGUAUGUACCCAUAUGAUCCAUGGGUUAGCUCAUUUAAUUGACUGCACCGCUAUUGGAUUAAUAAGAAAGAUAACUAGCAAUUUGGGUUAAAAGCCUAAAUUUAUUAUUUAGUGGGAGAAUCCAUAUAAUAUACUUGUGUCUAAGGGGUCUUGUGUUAUUUUACAAGAUGGACCCCUAUGACAAGAAAGAAAUAACGUUACUUUUGGUUUAUUAUUUUUUAAUUUAAAUCAAACUUGAUUUAAUAGAAUUAAAAAAUAUAAAAAUAUGGAGCCUAGGUUUCCACUAAGAUAGAGAUGUAAUGGCUUAUUUUCUCCCAAAAGGAAGACAGAAGCCACAUUAUACAAAUUAGAGAAAGAUUUUUUCUCUAUAAUUUUAAGAGAAAAAUUUUCUCCUGCUAAUUGCUUUUAGUGGUGAUAAAGGCGCCCCCACGUCAAGUGCAUAUAAAACCUGAGUCAUAACUUGUAAGAUCAUUGGUGACGGAUUGUGAUCUAACAAGUGUGAUGGUAACAUAUUGUGAUCUAACAGGCGUGGUGGUGAGAAAUCAUGAUCUAGGAGCCUGGAUUAACUCAGCUAAAAAGCCAAAUCGGAUUGUCAAAGUAUGAUUUUUUAGAUUACGAAUUCCUAUAUAUUAUAUGAGAUCGAUCUUAAAAGGUUUUUUUUAAAACAGAUUUUUUUUUCCAACAGUUCUUGAAGAUAAAGAUGAGGAACAAAUUCAAAGACAUGAGCAGAACACUUGAUGGAAUAUAUAAGAAGAGGGAAUGUACAAUCCUUCUUCUUGAAGUGUAAAGUAUUGGAUUUUUAUUUUAAUAUAAUGAACUCAAUUAUAUUUUUUAGUAAUUGUUUUAAUUUUAUUACACUUUGAUUAUAUAAUUUGUGUAAAAAUUGAUAAUGAAAAAAAGUUUCACAUUUUUUAAGGACUAUUCGGUAUUUCUAAGGUUUAAAAUAUGGUUCGCAUCUAUUUUUUUUCAAAAAGUUACAUAUUUUUACUGAUGGAUAUAUUUUAUUGAAAAAAUAUUAUUACCGCGAAAAUGUGUCCCUAAGAAAUGUUCUUAUUCGUCAUUUAAACAAAUUUUUUGAUAGACGUAUUUUAUUUUUACGGAGGAAAAUGUUCCUCGGCAAUAAUCCAUUUUUCCGAGAGACCAUCAGAUUAAUAAACUUAAGGACAAGCGUAUUCAUGAUGGACUCCAAUUAUCAUUUUUCUUGAAUUUUUAGAAUCAGUAAGGGAAAUUUUCCCUCGGUUAACAAGUUGGAGUUUAAAUGUUUCUUUUCAAAAUGUUAGGGAAUUUUUUGUUCAUUUUCCUAAACAUUUGGGUGUACAAGUCCUUUUUCAAUACAUAUAUAGAGAGAGAGAGAAUAAGUAAGUAUGCCACAAUUAGAACAUACUAUAUAGGAUAUGAUGAUCACUAGUCAAUCUUUGCUUCUUAUCCGAAUUACAAUUUUAAGAUAGAGAAAAAGUUAUUAUUAGCAUAUGAUAUUUGUUUAAUUAUGGUUUUUUCUUAUUUUGAUAGCACAUGUGAUGGACAUUUUGUGAAUGCAUGAUUGUUUUUCGGCUGCAACUGACAAUUCAAUCCCUAUGAUCGUGGUUUAAUUAACUGUAACUGCUAUAAUUGCUAAACUGAGUUUUCGCUGUUGGUAAGUAAAAAAAAAAUUUUAAUAAUUUAAAAUAAUUAUGUUCGUUGUUCAAUCGUUUAUUUGCUUUUAUUUUAAGGAGAAAGAUUGGUGCACCCCGAUCAUUUGGAAAAGGGAAAAAAAACUCAUUGACAUUUUAAAAAAGAUAUUUAUAACCCUGUUUUUAUCAGAUUUUGUUUAUUUUUAACAAAAAAAAAUUUCAACUCUGAAAAUGUCCUCAAAAAAUAAAUACUGGUUGCCUAAUUCGCCCACAGAUUUUUAAUAAAAUUACAAAUAUAUCCUUAUUCAUAAGGAUUGGAAUUUUGACUUAUAGAUCCAAUUUAAUUUCCCAAUUUCCUAAUUUAACCAUUGGGUUUUAAUAAAAUUACAAAAAUAACAUUGAUAACUCUAUGAAAUAAGAGUUAUCAUGAUAUUUUUAGAUUUAAAUCAAUAAUACUUAGAGAGUAAAUAAUGUGUUUUUCUUGCAUUUUUAUUAUAUUUUGCAUAAACAUUCAUCUUAGUUUAUUCGUAAUAAUUUUUUUUGAUUUAGAAUAAUUUGUGUGCUAAAUCAUAUGCAUAAUUGUAGGUGUCCAGAAGCCCAAAUUUCAAGGAAGGAAUGCUGAUGCAAUAGGCUUGCAAAAGAUAGAAAAGAACUUGGCUGCAAAAGAUAGAAAUGAACUUGACUACAAAAGAAUUGAAAUAAAUCUGGAACAGUGCAGUUGUUGUAGCUAUUGUUGUAGCAACCAUUACUGUAGCAAUCCUGGAACAACGACAGAUAAAAUUUUCGCGUGGGAUACUUGUAGAAUUGCGAUCUACAAUUUCCUAAUCUGACUUAUGCGUGCCCUAGGCUUCCGUUUAUCCUAAUUUUCAGGUAUAAAAGAAACACACAUCAUAAGGAAUAAAGAGAGCCGUCACCCAAGGAGAAAAACCACAAAGAAACAAAAGAAAACAAGAUUCAAGAGAGAGAUUAAGGGCUGCACAAGAGGAGAAAUUGCAGAGAUCAAUUUGGAGCUCAGUUCUGCUUAUUCUUGUCUUGUUUUCUUGUUUUCUAUUUAUUCAUGAGGAUGUGUUUCAUGGCUAAAAUUUUGUUCUUUAUUUUUCUUUUGUAAAUCAUGAACUAAAUGUAUUUGUAGUUCAGUGAUAAACAAUCUUGAUGGUUUAUUGAAUAAAAAUAUGUGUUGUUGCAUAUUUGCUGUAGCAUUUUGUUUUGAUAGCAUUGAUUUUUAUUCAUUAUUUCGGCUGAUCACCCAUUUAAUAAUACAAGUUAGGAGAGAGCCACAAAAUGGCCUAUGUUAGUGGAACAUAUCAGAGCAAUACUUGGUUUUAGAUUGAGUUUCCUGGAUUAAGUUUAACUUAUCCCAAAAGGGCCAUACUUAAUCUAAAAUUAGUGAUGAACUAGACAUAAUGAUUCACUUUGUAGGGUAAAUAGAACCUAAGCGCGUAAUGCUAUAUCUUAUGUUGGCAUAACAACUGAUCACUGUUAGGUUGCAUAUAGAUAUAAGAUAUCCAACAUGCGACGACUGAUGAUACAUAAGGAUUCUGCCCAGUGCUGUAGCAGAUGCUGCAGCAACCAAGCCAAACAUUAGAAAAAUAGUAAUACCAUUAAGAGAGUUUAUUCACUCAACUACUCUAUAUUUCCAUUGGUUUUAUCCUUGAGUUUGACGUAAUAAUUUACUCUGUUGCAUUUUAUUUAUUGCGCUUUUAUUUUAAUUAGUAUAAUAGUUUACUAAUUGUUUUAUUUUAAUUUAGCACAAAAUCUGCACUGUUAAUAUUGUUGUAGCAAAUAUGAUAACAUCAAUUCUUGUGGAGACGAUCUUGAAUACUCAUCAUUUUAUUACUUGUUGUGUACACUUGCACAUUGACACCAAUAGCAUUUGAAUUUAUACCCAACAUCCAUCAUUUAUGGAUAUAUGUAAAAAUUAAAAAAUAAUUGAAAGUGAAAAUUGUGACAAGAUUAUUUUCUGGUCUAUAAAGCCAUUAAUGUAUACUUUCUACAGUUAUGCAAAUAAAAAAGGCACGGCAUCAAACAUAAUCAUUUAACAUUAUAACAGUAGAAAAUAAGUCCUUUAUCCCUACAUGUUUAUGAUGAAACAAUUUAGUCAAAACUAUAAAUAAGCAAAAUCGAUGACGAUGAUUAUAUUGGUUUCGAUCCCAAUGAUUGGUAAGUUUAUCGGUGGUGGAAAAUGGCUAGAAAAGUGUUGGUGGAGAGGAGUUGUUUGAUGCUGUUGAUGUGGGUCAAUACGCGAUGGCAUCUGGGAAAUGGAUAGGGUUGGUGUCUCACUAUUUUUGACAGAUUCUGAUUAUUUUAGAGGCAAAAUGGUUGUGACUUGGUUGGCUUUUUUCGGCCGACUCCUUUGAACAUUGAUGGAGGUCUUGAUCGACAAUGAAAUGUCAAAAUGUCGACCGGCUCCUUCAGUUUCACUUUUGCAGUAGUACCGAUGAUGAGUACGGGGUUGAGGGCUUGAGCAACUGGGUUCAGGGAUUUUGGGUUGACUUUCUCAAUUGAUUAACAAAAGAAAGUUGUUUUUAGCUAUUUUUGUUGUUUAUAUUUUUUAAACGGACUGGGAGGGUUUUGUGAUUUUUGGGAAAUUUCACCAGUGAUUAGUAAGCGAAUGUGCAAUAUUAACCUUUUAAUUACUUUAACAAUUGAAAUCUGUUAAGAAAAAAGGGUGUAAAUGUCUUUUUAAAACUUUAAAGAGUUAUUUGUUCCCUUUCUUAAAUAUUGUGGUGUUUUAGUCAUUUUCCCUUUAAUUUAUGCAAAAUGUUUAUUCAAUGAGUUAGCAAAAGCGAAAAUAAAAUAGCGAAAGCAGAAUAAAAAAAUAGUGAAAUACUUUAUUGAUGCGGAUAUAGCAAGUUGUUGGAUCAUAAACUUGAUCCAACAUGAAGAAAUUCAAGCUCAAUUCAUAAAAGCUUCUUGUGGUAGGUAAAGUUGGUAUGGUUGGUGUAAUAGGUGAGUGGUAAGUUUUAAUGAAUGAUGAAAAUUUCUAUGAUAACUGAAUAAAUGAAUGGUUGUGAUUGGUUUGUUUUAUGUGUAAGUACCCUUUCUCUCUUUGGUUUAUGCAUAAAGUCUAAAAAGAAGAAAGCAUAAGAAGUAAAACAAAGCUUUUGAGAGUGAUUUAUGAGAGUGUGUGAAUUGUUCUUAUAAUGCAUGUUUUAUCAUUCAAAUUCUUUAACAAAGUGGUACCAGACCUAGUAAUCAAUGCUUCACACAGUGGUUAACAUAUCAGACCAAAGAGCUCAAUGAGAGGAGCACGAUGCCACAAAAAUCAGCCUUAUCAGAGUCUGAAAGCAACCACAAUUACUGCCAGAAAUUUGUUGUCUCGAAACUAAGUUACUCACCGAGUUUAACCAAUCUAAAUCAAGUUGAACAAAACUGAACCAAGUCGAGCUGAACCGAGCUGAGUUUAGUGAUUUGAGCCAACCAUUGACCGUUGACUAAUCGUUGACUGUUGACCAAAAGGUGACCAUUGAUCAAAAGUUGAUCUAAGUCCCUCCCAAGUUUUUUUGACAUUUCUGACUUAUCCAUGCAUUUAGAAUUUUCAAAUUCUCACUCAAUUUGUGAGUUAUUGCAAAUGGUGGCAUGAUAUCAUUCUAGGUUUCACCAUCGAAGUUAAGUAAUUUUGACAACUGAAAUAUUAGUUGAAGGCUCUAUUGGGUGCACACGAUAUAUAGGAAGUCGUGGAAAAAAAACUUUAUUUUACUAGAAAAUGAAGCUACUUCAAGCUGUGGCGUAAAAAGAGAAUUUGAAAAAUUUAAGGAAGAAAGAGAAUGAAGCAAUGUAUCUCAUCUUUCAAUUAUUAAAUGAAGAUGCUUUCGAAAAUAUUGUUAGUGCAACGUCCUCAAAAGAAGCAUAAAAGAAGCAAGAGACCUGUUACAAAAGAGUAGAACAAAUUAAAAAAGUUCGUCUCCAAAUAUUAUGAGGAGAAUUUGAGUCCUUAUGCAUGAAGGCAUUUUAGUCAAUUUCUGACUAUUUUACUUAGGUUAUGACCAUUUCUAAUAAAUUAAAAAGAUAAUGGCAAGGAGUUCAAAGAGUUAAGGAUCAUUGACAAGAUGCUUCGAUCAAUGAAAUCAAAGUUCAACCAUAUUAUUAUAACAAUUGAGGAAACAAAAGAUUUGGAGGCUAUGACGGUUGAGAAACUUCAAGGAAGGUUAUAAGCUUAUUAAGAAAAAUUGAAAAAGAAGAAAGGAAUCGAAGAACAACUUCUCAAGACUGAAAUCAAUCCAAAAAAGAGAGAAGAAAGCUUCGACAAUCAAAAAAGACAUUAUGUCUGAGAUAGAGGUCGAGGAUGAGGUAAGGGUCGUGGUUAUGGACGAGGUCGUAAUUUCAACAACAACUAAUCGAAUUAUAGAAAGGAAAAAACUCAAUCAAAGGACGAAACAGAGGCAAUCCAAGAUCUAAAUAAGACAAAUCCCAAGUGCAGUACUAUAAUUGUCCAAAGUUUGGGUAUUACGAUUCAGAAUAUAGAGCUCUAAGUACCAGAAUUUAUGAGAAAGUGAAUUAUAUUCAAGAGAAAGAGGAUGAAGAUGGUAAAUUCUUACUAGCACAUAAUGGCACCAAUAGAGGUCAAGAAAAUAUAUAGUAUCUUGACACAAGUGCUAGCAAUCACAUGAGUGGAAACAUGAAUAUGUGAAUGACAAUGUUGCUUUUGGAGAUGAUUCAAAAGUACCAGUGAAACACAAAGAUAACAUUCUUUUUUUGUACAAAAGAUGACAAACACCAACUAAUUUCAAAUGUUUACAUGUGCCUAGCACAAAAAGCUACAUCCUCGAUUUAUGUUAACUCUUGGUAAAAGACUACGAUAUUCACUUAAAAGAUUAUAGUCAUUUUCUAAGAGAUGACAAAAGAAACCUAAUGACAAGGGUGAGAAUGUUAAAUAAUAGAAUAUUUCCUUUAAAUAUUUAAAAUGAUGUUGCAACGUGUCUUAAGGCUUGUCACAAAGUUUCAACCUGGAUUUGGCAUCUUGGAUAUGGGCAUCUCAAAUUUGAAUAAUUAGAGUUAUUAUAAAAAAAGAACAUGGUGAAAGGCCUACCUCCAAUCAAUUAUCCCAAUCAACCUUGUGAAGGAUGUUUACUUGGCAAGCAGUUUAGAAAAAGCUUUCCAAAAGACUCAAACUCAAGAGCUCAGAAGUCACUUAAGCUUAUUCAUACUGACGUGCGCGGUCUAUCCAAGCCAAGCUCCCUUGGUAAAAAUAACUACUUCAUUCUCUUCACAGAUAAUUUUUUUAAUUUUUCAAGAAAAACUUGAGUGUAUUUUUUAAAGUAGGAGUGAGAAAUAUUUGAAGCUUUCAAAAACUUCAAAGCUAAAUUGGAAAAUAAAGUGGACACCAGAUUAAAGGCAUGAGAUUUGAUAGAGGUAGAGAGUUCAAUUAUAAAGUAUUCAUAGAUUUUUGUGGAGCAAACGGAAUUCGGUGCCCUGUAACAAUUUCAAGAUCUCCCUAAAAAAAUGUUGUUUUAGAAAGGAAGAAUAUAACUAUUCUCAACAUGACAAGAAGCAUGCUCAAGACUAUGAGACUACUUAAAGAAUUUUGGACUAGAGCUGUUGCAUGUGCAGUCUAAUUAUCAAACUGAUCUCUAACAAGAAGUGUGUAGGGUAAAACACCACAAGAAGCAUGGAUUGGAAGAAAAACCGAUAUCACCCAUCUGAGAGUUUUUGGAAGUAUUACCCACGUACAUGUACCAGACGAGAGAAGAGCAAAGUUGAAUGACAAAAGUGAAAAGUUCAUCUUUAUCAACUAUGACAACAAUUCCAAAAGAUACAAGUUGUACAAUCUAAAUAACGGGAAGAUAGUGAUCAGCCAACAUGUAAUUUUUUAUGAUGAAAGAGAAUGAGAUUUUGGCUCUAGUAUGGAUGACUUCAACUUCUUUCUUAUUGAAGAAGAUGAUCAUACACAGAUAAAAAAAGUAUAAGAAUAAUAAGAACCAGCUACUUCAUCUAUCUUACUGGUAUCAAUGACAUGUAGAGAUUCAUCACCAUCUUUCUUAAAUGAAAGAACUAAAUAACACACAAGGAGUUUUCAAGAUCUCUAUGAGGCAACUGAAAGACAUGAAAAUCUCAUUCUUUUUUGGCUCUUUGCUAAUAGUGAGCUAGUCAAUUUCUAAGAAGUUGUAGAAGAUGAGAAUGAGAGAAAAGUAAUGGAUGAAGAAAUCAAAGCUAUCGUGAAGAAUGACACUUAAGAACUUGCUACUCUUCAUAAAGUCACAAGCCAAUCGUUGUCAAAUAGGUGUACAAGAUGAACAUAAAUGCUAAAAGAGAAAUUGAAAGGCACAAGGUGAGGCUAGUUGCAAAAGACUUAUUAUUCCUUUGGCUGCUAAAAAAAAGGAAGAUUUUUUUAAAUGGAUGUGAAGUUUGGUUUCUUGAAUGGAUUUCUCGAAGAAGAAGUUUACAUCGAACAACCAUCAGACUAUGCGGUGAAAGGAUAUGAAGACAAAGUUCUAAGAUUGAAGAUAGCUCUUGAUGGUUUAAAACAAGCACCAAGGGCAUGGUAUAGCAAAAUUGACAAGUAUUUCCAAGAGAACGACUUCAUCAAAUGCCCAUAUGAACAUGCUCUAUACGUCAAAGAAAAAGAUGAAGACCUUUUGGUUGCAUGCCUUUAUAUGGAUAAUCUCAUCUUCACUGGAAGUAAUCCAAGCUUAUUUGAAGAGUUCAAGGGAGUAAUGAUCAAAGAGUUCGAGAUGACUACCAUCACAUUAAUAGCAUAUUAUCUCGGCAUUGAAGUCAAGUAAAAGGAAGAAUGCAUAUUUAUCUUUCAAGAAAGCUACGCAAAAGAGAUUCUCAAGAAGUUCAAGAUGAAUCAUUGCAAGCCUAUAAGCAUGCCAGUGGAAUGCGGAGUCAAGUUAUCCAAACAUAAUGAAAGCGAAGAUGUAGAUCCAACAUUCUUUAAAAGUCUAGUUGAAAGCCUACAUUAUUUGAUAUGCACGAGACCAAAUCUCCUGUAUACUGUUGGACUUGUGAGUUUAUACAUAGAGAAUUCAAAGAUCACAUAUUCUAAAGCUGUAAAAAGAAUCCUUCCAUACAUCAAAUGUACAAUUAAUUUCGGUUUGUUAUACUUAUUUUCUAAUGACUACAAGUUUAUUGGAUAUAGUGAUGACGAUUGUUAUGGAGGUGUAGAUGAUCGAAAGAGCACCACAUGAUUUAUGUUCUUUGUGGGAGACAUUGUUUUCACAUGGAUGUCAAAGAAGCAAUCUACUAUUACACUCUCAACUUGUGAAGCUGAGUAUAUAGAUACUACUUCAUGUGUUUGUCAUGCAAUUUGGCUAAAGAAUUUGUUGAAGGAGUUAGGUAUGCUGUAAGUAGAGCCAACCAGGAUUUGUGUUAAUAACAAACCAGCAAUUGCCCUAUUCAAGAAUUCAGUCUUUCAUGAUCAAAGCAAACACAUAAAUACUCGUUAUCAUUUCACAAGAGAGUGUAUUACAAGAAAAGAAUUGCACCUUAAGUAUGUGAAAUCACAAGAUCAAGUAGCUGAUAUCUUCACCAGGCUGGUCAAGUAAGAAGACUUUGUAAAAUUCAGAAAUUUGCUUGGUGUCACAGGAUCAAGUUUAAAGAGAGGUGUUGGAUCAUAAACUUGAUCUAAGAUGAAGAAAUCCAAACCCAAUUCAUAGAAGCUUCUUGUGGUAGAUAAGGUUGGUGUGGUUAGUGAAGUAAGUUUGGUAGGUAAGGUUGGUGUGGUUAGGGAAGUAGGUUUGGUAGGUAAGGUUAGUGUGGUUGACGAAGUAGAUGAGUGGUAGGUUUUGAUGAAUGGUGAGAAUUUGUGUAGUAGUUGAAUAAAUGAAUAGUUGUGAUUGAUUUGUUUCAUGUAUAAAUACCCCAUCUCCCUUUGGUUUAUGCAUCAAGUCUAAGAAGAAGAAAACAUAAGAAGCAAAACAAAGCUUCUAAGCGUAAUUAUGAGAGUGUGUGAAUUGUUCUUAUAAUGCUUUUGAGCUUUCUCUAAUAAAAUUUAUGUUUUAUCCUUCAAAUUCUCAAACAUAGGUAUAAGUAUUGUUAUAGAAUGCAUCAACUCAAUGAACAAGCAGAAAAAAUAAAAAUUACCUCACUAUGAAACUAAUAACUAAAUUAUAUUUUUGUCAAAACCACUCAAUAACACAAGAUUUAGAUGAACAACCUAGAGCCCUACACUAGAGACUAAGAAAGACAAUUAUUUGUUAACACUACAAGAAAACAGAUAAUAGAUGACGAGAAAUAACUGUCAUAAAAGGGGGUAUAUGACAAACAGUUCAUCCGUCAUCUAUGUCACUCUCAUUAAUUUAUGACAGAAUAUUUUCCGUCAUAAAUUUAUGAUGGUAUUUUAUAGUCAUAUAUAUGUCACACAAUAUUUUAAUGUAAAAAAAUAAUUAAAUUAAAAUUUGAAUUUAUUUAAAUUUUUGUGCGAUUUUUUUUAAAAUUUUUUGUGGGAAAUUCAAUUAUUAUUUGAAAAUUUAUUAUUCAAUUUUGACUGGAAAUUAUUUAUGAUAGAAUAUAUGAUGGCUUUUUCCGUCAUAAGGUUUGGAUUUUUUUAAAUUAUAUUAUAAUUAUAAUUUAUUGAUGAAUUCCUGUUUACAAAUUUAUUUAAUUAAUAAAAUAAAUAUAAAAAAAUUAAUAUCAAUUAACAUUCAUUCAAUCCAAAAUUUAAUUUCAAAAUAAAUACAUCUGAUAUCCAAUGUGAUUUCCACCAAUACAAAAUAAAACAUCCCAAAUUGAACAGAGAUGUGCUACAUGAAUGAAAUUAAUUUCAUAAUGUUUGGAUGAGACCGCUGAUAAAAAACAUGCUAAGCAACAUAGAGGACAUAACAUUAAGGGGGUAAUAAACUAUUUUUAAGGACAACUUAUAAAGUGUAGCAUAAGUUUAUAAACUACCAACAAUAUUUUUCACACUACAAGUAACAAAAUUAGCCCAUCCCGAAAGAAAACUCAGUGUACCAUUUCCAGUGACAAUAUGACGCCAAACUUCAACAAUCAUUAACAAAUUCUGGUGUAGCUUUUGAUCAAGCUCGAUACUUCACGGACGUCAUCAGCUCUACGAAAUCCCUAAAAACUGCAGCAAGAACACAAGUCAAUAUGCUGGCACGGAGAAUUUUAUGCAACAAAAUAGAAAAUUGUUAAUGAACAAUAGAAGCAUAAUCAAGAGUGGAGUCCUCAAAUUAUAAGCUUUCCACCCAUUAUGAAAUUUCUUCAGAUCUAGCACUAUCUGUUCUUUUAGCACAGAUCACAAGAAAUGCUUGAACACCAAAAAGUGGGGUGUGUUUCAAAAAGAAUUUCUGAAAACUAAAUUUAUAUGUAAAAGAUAGAUGGUAUCAAAAAAUGCAUUACCGCAGUCUGAAUCAUGAGGUCCUGGGGAUGCUUCAAGGUGGUAUUGGAGGGACAUGACAUUUAGUGCCGGAUAAGCAAGACCGGCACAGGUACCGUCAUUAAGAUUGAUAUGAGUCACUUCCACACCUUUUGGAAGUGUAGCAGGGUCAACUGCAUAGUUAUGAUUCUGCAAAAUAUAAAAUUACGGUGUAUAAAUGAACAAACUAAAAAGGGGAAAAUAAAUUAUAGAAAUUUUUCAAACUAGCACCCAAUUAAUGAAAGUUAAAUCCAAAGUUUUGAACUGUAACAACUUUAGGAGAAAAAGAAGCACUACAUUAUCCGAUUCAUUUCUACAAGUUUAAUAUCCCCAAGAAUAGGAUAUCUUCCACUAAAUUUUUCCAAAUAAAAACUUGUGUUGUAAAUGGAAAUUUCUAGAAAUCAGGCCAUUAGCAUAUAAUCAAGUUCGUCUAAACACACCUGAGCACUAAUCUCUACCCGACCAUUUUGCAUGUUAUGAACAGGAUGAUUUCCUCCAUGAUGACCAAACUUCUUUUUCUUUUUUCUUUUAUUGACAUUACCUUACUUCCAUCUCAAAUGGUAAGGGGCUUUACAGGUUGUGCAAUGAGCAAAUGAAAAACCCUUCCUGCAAAUAAAAAAUGAUUAAAUAAAAAUAGGACACAGCUAAAAAGAACCAUUCCAGAUAAAAGCAAGAACCACUAUGCAGCUUAAGAUCAGAAAAGUCUUCCCAGAAAAGAAAUUACCUAGUUGGUAUCAUUACUAUCCAAGACUGUAUUUUGUUGUAAGAUAUAUUGGAAAAUUAAAUAGGACACAUAUUAGGAUAUAUUUAAAUAAUAUAUAUAUAUAUAUAUAUAGUCAAUCCAUUGCCGAUUUAAUUGGAGCCAAACACUCAUCUGAAUGGAGCCCAUCACCCCGAUUGGGAUGCUUUUAUCUCUUUCUCGUAGUGUCAGUAGGUAUUUUUAGUACGAAGUGUAUAAAUUGAAAUAUAUCCAACGAACUUAACAAUAUAAUUGAAAUAAUCCUUUCCUCAGAGGUAUUUUAACAAACACUUGAUGUGUCGUUUGUGACACAAUCUAAUCUUAACAAAAUUUAAAAUUUUUCAUGCCCAGUACAUGUCCCAAUUCCUUAUUAUCACAUGUAUUCGUCAAACAAAUAAUUUAAUCAGCAAUUAAAAAAUAAACCAUGGAAAUAUAACAACACCUUGGAGUGAAGCCAAGCAAAACUGUGAAGUAAAUCCGAUCAAAACCGUGAAAUGCAGUUGACCAAAACCAUAGAAGGGUCGAAGGAAGCAUGCUGCUUUCGAUGGAAGCUGUCAUUGUCUUCGCGUGCUCACCAAAGACAUGUCAUAAACAGCCCUGGCCUUUGGAUCCGACAGCGUCUCGUAAGCGUUGUGGAUCUCGGUGAAAUCCCAACCGUUACUCGACAAAUCGUGAUGAUAAACCUUCGCCAAACUCCGAUACACCGUCUUAAUCUCCGAAAUCAUCGCAGUUGGCUCUACCCUCAGCACCUCGUACAAGCUCCCUCCCAUCCCCGGCGCCAUCAACGGCAUCUCCACUGAAACCGCACGGGGACUCCUCUUGUUCCUUCCCGAAGCGGCAGUGAAAUCGAAGAGCACCAGGGGAGCAACGGCAACAACUUAACGUGUGUUUAAUUAGAAUAGAUUUAGGGUUCACUUUUUCAUUUUAUACUUUAGAAAUUAUGUAGUGUAAUUGUUCACAUAUUAAGUAAUGAAUUAUAAGUCGACAUGUGGCUAAGUAAAAAUAAUAAUUUGUGAUAAAAAAUAAUUCUAUCAUAAAACUAUUAUUAAUUCAUGAUAAAAAAUAAUUCUAUCACAAAUUCAUCAUUAAUCCAUUAUAAAAAAUAAUUCUAUCAUAAAACUAUCAUUAAUCCGUAAUAGAAAAUAAUUCUAUCACAAAGCCAUCAUUAAUUUAUGAUAGAUUAAAAAUUAUGCACAAGUAUAUCAUAAUUUUAUGAUAUACUCAGAAUUUGUCAUAAGUUGUCUGUUGUCUAUUAACAGUUUUCUUAUACUGUAAGGCAUAGGAAUAACUAAUGAUAUUACAAUCCUAUUCGUAAGUAUCUAAACAGAAUACAAAUCAAAUUACCAUUCCAGAUAAAAGCAAGAACCACAAUGCAACUUAAGAUUAGAAAAGUCUUCUCAGAAAAGAAAUUACCUAGUUGGUAUCAUUACUAUCCAAGGCUGUAUUUUGUUGUAAGAUAUAUCGGAAAAUUAAAUAGGACACAUAUUAGGAUAAUAUUUAAAUAACAUAUAUAUAUAUAUAGUCAAUCCAUUGCCGAUUUAAUUGGAGCCAAACACUCAUCUGAAUGGAGCCCAUCACCCCGAUUGGGAUGCUUUUAUCUCUUUCUCGUAGUGUCAGUAGGUAUUUUUAGUACGAAGUGUAUAAAUUGAAAUAUAUCCAACGAACUUAACAAUAUAAUUGAAAUAAUCCUUUCCUCAGAGGUAUUUUAACAAACACUUGAUGUGUCGUUUGUGACACAAUCUAAUCUUAACAAAAUUUAAAAUUUUUCAUGCCCAGUACAUGUCCCAAUUCCUUAUUAUCACAUGUAUUCGUCAAACAAAUAAUUUAAUCAGCAAUUAAAAAAUAAACCAUGGAAAUAUAACAACACCUUGGAGUGAAGCCAAGCAAAACUGUGAAGUAAAUCCGAUCAAAACCGUGAAAUGCAGUUGACCAAAACCAUAGAAGGGUCGAAGGAAGCAUGCUGCUUUCGAUGGAAGCUGUCAUUGUCUUCGCGUGCUCACCAAAGACAUGUCAUAAACAGCCCUGGCCUUUGGAUCCGACAGCGUCUCGUAAGCGUUGUGGAUCUCGGUGAAAUCCCAACCGUUACUCGACAAAUCGUGAUGAUAAACCUUCGCCAAACUCCGAUACACCGUCUUAAUCUCCGAAAUCAUCGCAGUUGGCUCUACCCUCAGCACCUCGUACAAGCUCCCUCCCAUCCCCGGCGCCAUCAACGGCAUCUCCACUGAAACCGCACGGGGACUCCUCUUGUUCCUUCCCGAAGCGGCAGUGAAAUCGAAGAGCACCAGGGGAGCAACGGCAACAACUUAACGUGUGUUUAAUUAGAAUAGAUUUAGGGUUCACUUUUUCAUUUUAUACUUUAGAAAUUAUGUAGUGUAAUUGUUCACAUAUUAAGUAAUGAAUUAUAAGUCGACAUGUGGCUAAGUAAAAAUAAUAAUUUGUGAUAAAAAAUAAUUCUAUCAUAAAACUAUUAUUAAUUCAUGAUAAAAAAUAAUUCUAUCACAAAUUCAUCAUUAAUCCAUUAUAAAAAAUAAUUCUAUCAUAAAACUAUCAUUAAUCCGUAAUAGAAAAUAAUUCUAUCACAAAGCCAUCAUUAAUUUAUGAUAGAUUAAAAAUUAUGCACAAGUAUAUCAUAAUUUUAUGAUAUACUCAGAAUUUGUCAUAAGUUGUCUGUUGUCUAUUAACAGUUUUCUUAUACUGUAAGGCAUAGGAAUAACUAAUGAUAUUACAAUCCUAUUCGUAAGUAUCUAAACAGAAUACAAAUCAAAUUAUUACUUAAUCUCCAACAAAUUUUUCUACAUCAAUCUUUUUUUUCAUUUUGGCAUUUUCUUGUACGUUCGGUAGUCUCGUGUAUUAUGGCUGGAUUGUACCAAAUCAAAAAAAUUCUUACGAUUUACAAUAUAAUUAUUAUUACUUAUUAGGUUAAAGUUGUUUGUACUCUUCCAUAUCCUUUUACGUUGCACAAAAAGGUAGAUGGAUGAACAAAACAGUCAUCAUCAAUUUUAUAAUCCCUACCUUCCCAUGAUUCAAACUCAAGUCACCAGCUCAAUAAUAAAAUUACUUAAAAAAUCAUUUGAGGAUACCUAUGAAGGCUGUUCACUCUUGCAUAUCUAUUUGCAACAAAAUAAUGAAAUCUCUCAUUCAUGGACACACCCUAAUUUGGAGUGAAUUUUGUUCAAUUUUUGUGUCUCCUUAUGAUUAGUUGUUGUAACACCAAUAAAGAUACUUUGAUGUGCUACCAAUUAAUGAAUUAAAAUUUUCUCAAGUGUUCUCCCCCAGAGUUAUUGAUUUUUUUCUUCUGAAAAAAGGAUCCUGAUACCCAUUUUAAUUUAUUUAACUUAUCUCUUACAAACAACAAUUUCUUGUAUACAUAAAUGAGUUGAAACAAAGAUCUUGCCCAACAAUAAUAUAAUGGUACUUUAAUUUUAUAUAUAUAGCACACAAGGACCAUUCCUAAUGAUAUUGAUGACAACCAACGAUGCCGAACGAAUUGUCAACCAAACAAGGAUUAUCUUGUAAAAUAAUCCACUUACAAUCAUGGCAGGAAUCUCUGGACUGAUCAUAAAUGUCAAACCAAUGAACUUUACCAUUCCAUUUAAAACUACAAUAGAAUAGACUAUUUCCAAAAAAGUUACGUCGGAAAUUAAUGGGAAAACUCUCGUCUUGAGAAAGCACAUGUUCGCCAAGGUCAUCAUUUUUGGACUUGCAAUGAACGGUAAGAUCCAAUCCAUUUCCUAACUUAUUGUAGAUGUUUACAUGGAUUUUAGGGCCAAUAGCAGCAUCGCUCAUGGGCAUGUACAAAACAAGAAGAGCCAGUAAAAGCAUAAUUUUUGUAAAAGAACUCAUUUUCUACUUGGUUUUUUAAGUUUGUAUAAUAAGAAAUUGAAUUGCAACUCCCACUUUAAAUAGGGUACAAGGUUUACCAAAUAUGUCACGUGAGAAAAAUAAACGUGAAGUUGUGCUUAAUUUUCUAUAUAUAGAUCAUACAGCCUGCAACAAAAGGUGGAAACUUCAUUAUAUAUCCUCACUGUAGAUCAUUGUUGUUUCAAUUUUCCUUUUCGGCAUGGUAAAUAUCCGUGUUGGAUUCAAGUUCCAACGAUCCAUUUUUAUCCAAUAGAAAUUAAGAUGCCAACUGUUGCAUAUUUUACAAACGAAAUCUGGAGUGUUCUCUUUUUUACACUGAAUAAAAGUAUGCGAAAUAGUUAGACGAUGGUAUUUCAUUUUCUAUUAUUUUUUUCCCCUCUUCUUUGUGAUGGGCUGGGAACAAUUAGACGAACAAAAUUGAAAGGGAAAAGGUGACGAAUUUUCCUGUUCGAGAGCCUAAGGAAACCAACAUAGAGUCACUUCCAAUCCAAAGAUAUUGAACAAGUGACGAGAAUAUGAUUGCUCCAUACCUUGAACAAUGCUAUUUUUUUCACUUAAAAUCUAUACCAGUCGAUUGAAUGGGAUCCAAUGGAUAAAAAUUAAUGUAUUCGCUCGGAAUGUAAUUUAGAGUGGAUUAUGUUAAAUAUUGCGUCUCCAACUUAGAUGUCCUAAUUGUGAUAUUUUCAUAAGCGUUGGUGAAUCAAAAUUUCCAAGACUUUUCUUAUUGUUAAAAGCACUGUCGGGAUUGAAAUUGGGCAGUUGUAUCUUAAAAAUAUACCACUAAAGUGUUUAGUCAGCUCUAACUAAAGUGUUUGGUCAGCUCAAACUACUAUAAAUUAAAAGCUAAAUUAAUUUAGUUUUACACUUGUGUGAUGAAAAGUCUAAUAUAUCUUUAAUAAUUUUAUCCUUUAAUAAUUUUGAUAAAAUUAUUAUUUAAAAAUUUAUAAAGGAUAAAAUUAUUAUUUAAAAAUUUUAUUUACCACAUAUUAUUAAUUUUUAUUUUAUAAUUACAAUUUUUUUCACAAUAAUUAUAAUUUAAAAGUUACAAUACCUCAAUUUCAAAAAGGAUCUGAGUCAAUUUUACUCUUAUUUGAAAAAUGAUUCUACCAACCAUUUAAAUUUCCUCAAGAGUAAAUUUUGGAUUUUCCCUCAUAAAAUAAUAAUAUUUAAAAUAUUCUUCAAGCUAUUAUAAAAAUCAAUUUAUCUCUGUUGCUGUUUAAAUGAUAAAGAGUAAUUUUCAUUGAUCCCCCCUCACACUCGUACUGACCUCCCUUGGUCUUAACUGAAUUUUGCUUUGACUUUAGAUGACGAAGUGACCAAAUAUAAAAAUGCCCCUAAUUGGACGGGUGUACUAGUUAGCCUCUCUGUUACAUGUAUAUCAUCAUCAUCAUCAUCAUCAUUUAAAACAUAAAUCUCAAGCCAAAUAGAGACACGGGCGUAGUAUCAAUACAAAAAAUAAACACGUAAGCAAAAUCCAAAUUUAGUGGUCAGCAUAAAAUCUAACAACCUCCCUUUUCUUCACUUUUAUCAUUACGUUGUUAAAACGUAAUUAUUAAAUUUCUCUUCACAUGCAUUAAGCCAACACGGAAUAUUCCAGUUAUUUAUAAUUUCCUCCGUUACAAUUGUUUGGACAUGCUUUGAGCCAGAUGUGCGGAGCUUGGUGGUAGUGUUAGGAAAUUGAUGGAUGAAGAAGGACCGCAGCUAAAAUAAAAUUGGAAAAAAAUAAAGAACAAGCACAAAAGAGGAUACUAGAAAUUACGUGGUUCGGCUUUUAGCCUACGUCCACGAGCGAAGACAAAAGGAAAAUAUUUCACUAGUUAUAUGAGAAUUACAAGUAUUGUAAUAUUUUGACUCAUUUUCCAGAACCCCAAUACACCCAAUCUCUCACUCACUAGACUCACAAGAGCUUUAUAAUUUUAAGCUCUUAAAAUCUCUGAAGCUCUCUCCUUGUUAUUCUCUCACAAAUUGAAUGUACAAAAUAAAAUGGGGAGCUCUUGUUAUUCUCUCACAAAUUGAAUGUACAAAAUAAAAUGGGGAGCUCUCCCUUUUAUACCCAAAAUUGGCUAUUAAAUUAUUAUUAUUUGUUUUAAUCGCCUUUGAUUUUUCUUCAUUCUUCUUACUUUUGUUUUCUUCUUUCUUCUUUGUCAAAGUUUCUUUUUUUUUUUUCUUUCCUUAGGUGGCACCUCCUUGGACUUCAAUUUGGGUGGCCAAUUUGAAAAAAUGGUUCAUGGUUUGGUACCGCCCAACCAUGACUUUGACAGGUAGAUCACUAUUGACAUUUGGAUUUUUUCCAAAAAACAAAUUACAUUUUUGCCUUAAUUAGGAUUCUAAUGGUUGAAAAAAUUAGGACAAUCAAAGGAUAUGUCAAUCGAUUGUCCAUAAUCUGUUUGAUAUAAUACUUUAGAGAAAUGCCUUAUCUUUUAAUCAAUAAAAAUCACAAUUGCUCAAUGAUGUUAGUUAGGAAAUUGAUUAAGAGUGGGAAAUAUUAACGGAAAUGAUUUUUGUACUCGGUCAUUAUGAAUUAAUUGAAUCAAAUAAUAAAAUAAAUUUAUUAGCAUUUUUCCUUUUUAUUAUAGCAGAAUUCAACAUUCUGCCGUGAAUAAAUAAAGACAUGAUUUUGAUUUUUUAAGUUAAGUUACGAAACUACCAUUAUGAAAACGGUCAAAGCAAAGUUUGCUUAAGUCUAAGGGAGGUCAGUACGAAUUUGGAUGUCAAAUCCAUCUAAGAGUGGGUUGGACAUAUUUGAAGAAAGGACAGUGAAAAUUACCCAAGAUUAAAAAAAAAAAGUGGGGGAUCGUUGAUGAAAUUUUUUUUGUCUUUCAAACAAAAAUGAUAUUAGUGGAUGUUUAUAAUAAUUUGGAAAUGUUUUCAAGAUUAUUAUUUCGUGAGAGCAAAAUUUGAAAUUAACUCAAACAAGUUAUCUCUUACCAAUAAAUUCCUACAUGCCACCGUUCAUGUAUAUUUCAAAAUAAAAAUUCAAUUGAACAAGAUUUAUAACAAAAAUCUUUUCCAACAAUCGUCAAAUAGUUUUUAUUUUUGAUACACUGAUAUAUUACAAUCAAAGCUCUACUAAUAUUUAUAAUCAGACGUCAAUCGGGACUCUCCUCAAUAAUCCUAUUGUAGCACAGUCCGAAUGUCGACCCUUCGCUUAAAGUGAAGGGAGAUCUACCCUCACUAUUAAUACCGGAGGGGGAUCAAUUCUACCCCAAUGUGGGGAGACUAUUCAACCCCUAUUAUACAGGGGAAUCAAGUCCCAGCGUUGUGACUUGAACCUAGGACCUUAACAUUGUUGAGGUCGUGGGCGUGCCAAUGGGCUACGGGC